GUGAGGAAUAUUGGUCAAUGGGCGAGAGCCUGAACCAGCCAAGUCGCGUGAAGGAAGAAGGAUCUAUGGUUCGUAAACUUCUUUUGCAGGGGAAUAAAGUGCGGGACGUGUCCUGUUUUGUAUGUACCCUGAGAAUAAGGAUCGGCUAACUCCGUGCCAGCAGCCGCGGUAAUACGGAGGAUCCGAGCGUUAUCCGGAUUUAUUGGGUUUAAAGGGUGCGUAGGUGGUUUGAUAAGUCAGCGGUGAAAGUUUGCAGCUUAACUGUAAAAAUGCCGUUGAAACUAUCGGACUUGAGUGUAAAUGAGGUAGGCGGAAUGCGUGGUGUAGCGGUGAAAUGCAUAGAUAUCACGCAGAACUCCGAUUGCGAAGGCAGCUUACUAAGCUACAACUGACACUGAAGCACGAAAGCGUGGGGAUCAAACAGGAUUAGAAACCCGUGUAGUCC
RNAcentral lists this ribosomal RNA (445 nucleotides) under uncultured bacterium. RNAcentral describes it as "partial 16S ribosomal RNA". It matches the Rfam family "Bacterial small subunit ribosomal RNA", at positions 354 to 796 of the family's 1533-position model. The record is from RNAcentral.